This 398-nucleotide ribosomal RNA is filed under the name uncultured bacterium. RNAcentral describes it as "partial 16S ribosomal RNA". It matches the Rfam family "Bacterial small subunit ribosomal RNA", at positions 523 to 918 of the family's 1533-position model. The record is from RNAcentral.
CUACGUAGGGUGCGAGCGUUGUCCGGAAUUACUGGGCGUAAAGAGCUCGUAGGUGGUUUGUCGCGUCGUCUGUGAAAUUCCGGGGCUUAACUCCGGGCGUGUAGGCGAUACGGGCAUAACUUGAGUACUGUAGGGGAGACUGGAAUUCCUGGUGUAGCGGUGAAAUGCGCAGAUAUCAGGAGGAACACCGGUGGCGAAGGCGGGUCUCUGGGCAGUAACUGACGCUGAGGAGCGAAAGCAUGGGUAGCGAACAGGAUUAGAUACCCUGGUAGUCCAUGCCGUAAACGGUGGGCGCUAGGUGUAGGGGUCUUCCACGACUUCUGUGCCGUAGCUAACGCAUUAAGCGCCCCGCCUGGGGAGUACGGCCGCAAGGCUAAAACUCAAAUGAAUUGACGGGG